GGUGAGUAACACGUAGGCAACCUGCCUGUAAGACUGGGAUAACUCGCGGAAACGCGAGCUAAUACCGGAUAAUACUUAUCAUCUCCUGAUGGUAAGUUGAAAGGCGGCUUUUGCUGUCACUUACAGAUGGGCCUGCGGCGCAUUAGCUAGUUGGUGGGGUAACGGCUCACCAAGGCGACGAUGCGUAGCCGACCUGAGAGGGUGAUCGGCCACACUGGGACUGAGACACGGCCCAGACUCCUACGGGAGGCAGCAGUAGGGAAUCUUCCGCAAUGGACGAAAGUCUGACGGAGCAACGCCGCGUGAGUGAUGAAGGUUUUCGGAUCGUAAAACUCUGUUGUCGGGGAAGAACAAGUAGGAUAGUAACUGAUCGUACCUUGACGGUACCCGACCAGAAAGCCACGGCUAACUACGUGCCAGCAGCCGCGGUAAUACGUAGGUGGCAAGCGUUGUCCGGAAUUAUUGGGCGUAAAGCGCUCGCAGGCGGUUCUUUAAGUCUGAUGUGAAAUCUUGCGGCUCAACCGUAAACGUGCAUUGGAAACUGGAGGACUUGAGUGCAGAAGAGGAGAGUGGAAUUCCACGUGUAGCGGUGAAAUGCGUAGAGAUGUGGAGGAACACCAGUGGCGAAGGCGACUCUCUGGUCUGUAACUGACGCUGAGGAGCGAAAGCGUGGGGAGCGAACAGGAUUAGAUACCCUGGUAGUCCACGCC
Molecule: ribosomal RNA, 710 nt
Filed under: uncultured bacterium
Lineage: Bacteria
Description: bacterial SSU rRNA
Rfam family: Bacterial small subunit ribosomal RNA
Source: RNAcentral